CUAAUAUUCCGCCAUGGACGAAAGUCUGACGGAGCGACGCCGCGUGGAUGACGAAGGCCGACCGGUUGUAAAGUCCUUUUGCUGGGGAAGAAUAACCAUGGGAGGGAAUGCCCGUGGGAUGACAUGAACCGGCGAAUAAGCCCCGGCUAACUACGUGCCAGCAGCCGCGGUAACACGUAGGGGGCGAGCGUUGUUCGGAAUUACUGGGCGUAAAGGGCAUGUAGGCGGCUUGGUAAGCCUGGCGUGAAAGUCACCGGCUCAACCGGUGGAUUGCGUUGGGAACUGCUGAGCUUGAAUCACGGAGAGGGAGCUAGAAUUCCAGGUGUAGGGGUGAAAUCUGUAGAGAUCUGGAAGAAUACCAGUGGCGAAGGCGAGCUCCUGGCCGAUGAUUGACGCUGAGGUGCGAAAGUGUGGGGAUCAAACA
This 424-nucleotide ribosomal RNA is filed under the name uncultured prokaryote. RNAcentral describes it as "bacterial SSU rRNA". It matches the Rfam family "Bacterial small subunit ribosomal RNA", at positions 358 to 774 of the family's 1533-position model. The record is from RNAcentral.